Molecule: ribosomal RNA, 253 nt
Filed under: uncultured bacterium
Lineage: Bacteria
Description: partial 16S ribosomal RNA
Rfam family: Bacterial small subunit ribosomal RNA
Source: RNAcentral
UACGGAGGGAGCUAGCGUUGUUCGGAUAUACUGGGCGUAAAGCGCACGUAGGCGGCGCCGUAAGUCAGGGGUGAAAUCCCGGGGCUCAACCUCGGAACUGCCUUUGAUACUGCAAGUCUUGAGUCCGAUAGAGGUGGGUGGAAUUCCUAGUGUAGAGGUGAAAUUCGUAGAUAUUAGGAAGAACACCGGUGGCGAAGGCGGCCCACUGGAUCGGUACUGACACUGAGGUGCGAAAGCGUGGGGAGCGAACAGG